UACGGAAGGCAGCAGUGGGGAAUAUUGCACAAUGGGCGAAAGCCUGAUGCAGCUAUGCCGCGUGUAUGAAGAAGGCCUUAGGGUUGUAAAGUACUUUCAUCGGGGAGGAAAAACAAAACUAAUAAUUUUAUUUCUUGACGUUACCCGAAAAAGAAGCACCGGCUAACUCCGUGCCAGCAGCCGCGGUAAUACGGAGGGUGCUAGCGUUAAUCAGAAUUACUGGGCGUAAAGAGCACGUAGGUGGUUUUUUUAAGUCAGAUGUGAAAUCCCUGGGCUUAACCUAGGAACUGCAUUUUGAAACUGAAAUACUAGAGUAUCGUAGAGGGAGGUAGAAUUCUAGGUGUAGCGGUGAAAUGCGUAGAUAUCUGGAGGAAUACCUGUGGCGAAAGCGGACUCCUAAACGAAUACUGACACUGAGGGUGCGAAAGCGUGGGGAGCAAAACAGGGAUUAGAUACC
This 457-nucleotide ribosomal RNA is filed under the name uncultured bacterium. RNAcentral describes it as "bacterial SSU rRNA". It matches the Rfam family "Bacterial small subunit ribosomal RNA", at positions 340 to 786 of the family's 1533-position model. The record is from RNAcentral.